RNAcentral lists this ribosomal RNA (251 nucleotides) under uncultured bacterium. RNAcentral describes it as "partial 16S ribosomal RNA". It matches the Rfam family "Bacterial small subunit ribosomal RNA", at positions 525 to 775 of the family's 1533-position model. The record is from RNAcentral.
ACGGAGGACCCGAGCGUUAUCCGGAUUUAUUGGGUUUAAAGGGUGCGUAGGCGGAUUGGUAAGUUAGAGGUGAAAGCUCAGCGCUUAACGUUGAAACUGCCUCUGAUACUGUCGGUCUAGAGUAUAGUUGCGGAAGGCGGAAUGUGUGGUGUAGCGGUGAAAUGCUUAGAUAUCACACAGAACACCGAUUGCGAAGGCAGCUUUCCAAGCUAUUACUGACGCUGAGGCACGAAAGCGUGGGGAGCGAACAG